GAGGGUAUAGCUCAAGUGGUAGAGCACAUGCUUAGCAUGCUUGAGGUCCUGGGUUCAAUCCCCAGUACCUCCU
This 73-nucleotide transfer RNA is filed under the name Camelus bactrianus (Bactrian camel). It matches the Rfam family "tRNA". Rfam says of the family: Transfer RNA (tRNA) molecules are approximately 80 nucleotides in length. The record is from Rfam by way of RNAcentral. RNAcentral also lists the same sequence under 3 other names. Lineage: Eukaryota; Metazoa; Chordata; Mammalia; Artiodactyla; Camelidae.